Molecule: ribosomal RNA, 253 nt
Filed under: uncultured bacterium
Lineage: Bacteria
Description: partial 16S ribosomal RNA
Rfam family: Bacterial small subunit ribosomal RNA
Source: RNAcentral
UACGUAGGGUGCAAGCGUUAAUCGGAAUUACUGGGCGUAAAGCGUGCGCAGGCGGUUGUGUAAGACAGAUGUGAAAUCCCCGGGCUCAACCUGGGAACUGCAUUUGUGACUGCACGGCUGGAGUGCGGCAGAGGGGGAUGGAAUUCCGCGUGUAGCAGUGAAAUGCGUAGAUAUGCGGAGGAACGCCGAUGGCGAAGGCAAUCCCCUGGGCCUGCACUGACGCUCAUGCACGAAAGCGUGGGGAGCAAACAGG